RNAcentral lists this ribosomal RNA (460 nucleotides) under uncultured bacterium. RNAcentral describes it as "partial 16S ribosomal RNA". It matches the Rfam family "Bacterial small subunit ribosomal RNA", at positions 338 to 795 of the family's 1533-position model. The record is from RNAcentral.
CCUACGGGCGGCAGCAGUGAGGAAUAUUGGUCAAUGGACGAGAGUCUGAACCAGCCACGUAGCGUGAAGGAUGACUGCCCUAUGGGUUGUAAACUUCUUUUAUAAAGGAGUAAAAAGAGGCACGCGUGCCGUUUUGCAUGUACUUUAUGAAUAAGGACCGGCUAAUUCCGUGCCAGCAGCCGCGGUAAUACGGAAGUUGCGGGCGUUAUCCGGAUUUAUUGGGGUUAAAGGGAGCGUAGGCCGGCUUUUAAGUCAGCUGUGAAAGUCCGCGGCUCAACCGUGGAAAUGCAGUUGAAACUGGAUGCCUUGAGUGCGCGCAGGGAUGCCGGAAUUCAUGGUGUAGCGGUGAAAUGCUUAGAUAUCAUGAAGAACUCCGAUCGCGAAGGCAGGUGUCCGGAGUGCAACUGACGCUGAGGCUCGAAAGUGCGGGUAGCAAACAGGAUUAGAUACCCGUGUAGUC